UAGGAUGGUAGGACCUACAGAUUCUUGAUUAGAUUAUAGAUGCAAAAAAAGAACCUGGAAUUAUUCCCCAAGAAGCUCCUUCUUCUGAAACCAAGAGGGGACUACAUGAUUCUAUCUGAUGACAACCAGUCAGUGAUCUCAGGUAUAAAAUGCAAUGUCCUAUUGUAACAAUGGCUGGCAUUACACCCAACAUCUAGAAGAAAAAAAACAAUGAUGUCAGAAGGCAGUCAUCUGGAGUGAAUAAAAGGCAAGAGGCUUAUUGCAAAUUCUAAUGCACUUCAUCAUAGAAUUUUAAUUAACUAUUCCAUUCACACCAAUUGGGGACUAUUAAAGCAGUCGUUUCUGAGAAGCAAUCUUUGGGAAAUUCAGGUAAAAAAAGACAACUUCUGUCUUCUGGAACAAUAAGGUUAUGACUUCCUACACCUAAUAAAAGGUGACUAUAUAGCCAGGCGUGGUGGCACGCGCCUGUAAUUCCAGCUACUCAGAAGGCUGAGGAAUGAGAAUCGCUUGAACCCGGGAGGUGGAGGUUGCAGUGAGUAGAGAUCGCACCACUGCACUCAAGCCUAGAUGACAGUGAGACUCUGUCCCCCACUCCCCCCACAAAAGUUAUCAUGCAGGAUCUGCCCUGGGAUAUAGUUUAAUUAUGUAACAUAGUCUGAAAAUAAGCAAAUUACUUAUAUACAUGCUUUGAUCUUUCUCUAUCUGAGGAAUGGGAAGAACAUAGUUUACCUCUCUAGAAGUCGCUUCUGAGAAUUGUGGUCCAUGCUCCAUUCUGAAUCCACAAGGAAAGGCCUUCACACUAUACAUGGCAAUUGCCAUUAGAUAUUGUCUUCUGGUUAUGGCGCAAUGGGCUGAUUGCCUUAGUUAUGUCAGAAAGGUGUUUGAAGAGCCUAUUGUGACUUGCCUGGUUUUAAAGGCUUGAGUUAUAACUGGCUAAUAAUACACAUUGAUACUGUCUGCAGCUUUUAACAAGUGUUUUUUGUUUGUGCUUAAUACUUAUCAGAUGACUAGGUAAUUUUUGAGGUUGACUCACCAGGGCAUUUGGUUUCAUGGGUCAUUAGGGACCUGAAUUACAGGCCCUUCACAACACUUAGCAAGUGAAUCAUACUGAACAAUAGAAUCUCUUUUAACCUUUGUCUUUUUAAAAAUUAAAUGAUAAUAAAUCAUUCGACCCUACAUUAAAUCUUCUCCUCUCCUCUCCUCUCCUUUCCUUCUCGACAGGGUCUUGCUCUGUUGCCCAGGCUGGAGUGUGGUGCAAUCGUGGCUCACUGCAGUCUUGAGCUCCUGGGCUCAGGUGAUCCUCCUGCCUCCUGCCUUAGUCCCUCCUUCAGCUGGCACUACAGGUGUGCAACACCAUGCCCAGAUAAUUUUGUAUUUUUUGAAGAGAUGGGGAGGAUCUCUCUCUGUUGCUCAGACUGGUCUCAAACUCCUGACCCAGAUUGAUCCUCCCACCUUGGCCUCCCAAACAUAGCCUAGUACUCUAGGAGUUUCCCUGCUUGCAGAGAGGAACAGUGCUUUGCUAGAACUGUUAGAACAAAGAAAAGAUGACUGGGUGCGGUGGCUCAUGCCUGCAAUCCCAGCACUUUGGGAGUCUGAGGUGGGCGGAUCAUCUGAGGUCAGGAGUUCAAGACCAGCCUGGCCCAUAUGGUGAAACCCCGUCUCUACUAAAAAUACAAAAAUUAGCCAGGCGUGGUGGUGGGUGCCUGUAAUCCCAGCUACUCAGGAGGCUGAGACAGGAGAAUUGCUUUAAUCCAGGAGGCGGAGGUUGCAGUGAGCCGAGAUUAUGGUAUUGCACUCCAGUCUGGGCAACAAGAGUGAGACUCCGUCUCAAAAAAAAAAAAAAAAUUAAUUAAAUUAAAUUAAAAAAAAGAACAAAGAAAAGAUGUUACCACGAACUCUAAAAUGGCACACUUGCAGAUUUCUCACUGGGGAAGAUGUCUCGUCUUCCUCGUGUUGUUCCCGUUUUCUUUCUCAUCCAGGGUCCGACAGGGAUGACAUCAACAGAAGCUCAGGCUAGAAGGAAGAUGAGGUAGCAGUGGGCCUGGUCUGCCCCAACCCCCAGGAGUGACUGGCAGCACACAUAGCCUGAAUCGACAAGAUUUUAAAAAAACAUAUAUGUUUUGGUUUUCACAAAUUCUCCCACCUGUUGGUAAGUACUUUUGAAAAUUUAAAUCAUAGACUCAUUCUUUUAUGACAUUUUCCAACAGACGUUCCCAAUAUAAAAUCUCAGACUACCCUUAACUUCCUCUGAAGCCCAGGGCUCAUUUGCAUCUGUAAUUCUGACAUCUACCAUCUUACAGAGGGUUCUGUAAUUACCAAGGCAAUGAGCACAAGUCCCUGGUUCUCUCGGCAAUCCAACCCUCUGAAGCAAGAAAAUGCACCCCUCUGCCAAGUGAGGGUCUGUUUUUCUCUCCUUAAAAUCUGCAUGAAAUAGUUUGCCAAUCCCAGAUGAUGUGAUAAGACGUGGUGUGAUGCGAUAAAAGGGGUAACCAGCACUUUGGGAGGCCGAGGCAGGAGGAACACCUGAGGUCAGGAGUUCAAGGCCAGCCUGGCCAACAUGGUGAAAACCCGUGUCUAGUAAAAAUACAAAAAUUAGCUGGGCAUGGUGGCUGCCACCUGUGAUCCCAGCUACUUGGGAGGCUGAGGCAGGAGAAUCACUUGAACCUGGGAGGUGGAGGUUGCAGUGAGCCGAGAUUACUCCGUUGUACUCCAGCCUGGGCAACAAGGGAAAAACUCCAUUUCAAAAAAAAAAAAAAAAAAAGGUGGGGGGGAUAGCCAGGAAGAAGCCCUGUUCUAAUCCCGAACAGCUCUUUCCCUUGUCCACCCUGUUUCAGAUCACAUUGUUUAAAGCAACAAUAAUAAUAAUAAUUAUAACAACAGAGAAGAGAACUUGCGCGAAUUUACUUUUAUUUUAUUUUUUCUAAGACAGCAUCUUGCUCUGUCACCCCGGCUGGAAUGUAGUGACGUGAUCACAGCUCACUGCAACCUCUUCCUCCUGGGCUCAGGUGAUCCUCCCACCUUAGCCUCCUGAGUAGCUAGGACCACAGGCAUCUGCCACCACACCUGGCUAAUUUUUUAAAAUUUUUUUGUAAAGACAGAGUUUCGCCAUGUUGCCCAUGCUGGUCUUGAACUCCUGGGCUCAAGCUAUGUGCCUGCCUCGGCCUCCCAAAGUGCUGGGAUUACAGGCGUGAGCCACCACACCCAGCCUCAGCAUUUGGUAAGCCUUGAAUAUGUGCCAAACACUCUGCUAAGCAUGUUACAUUCAUUAUAUUAUCCAAUCCACAGACUAACCCAAGAGCAAAGCACCGUUAGUAUAUUCAUCCUAUCGUACAGAUGGGCCUGGGACAGCUAAGAUAGUUGCCUUUUGGGUUGAGCGUUGUCCUGUUUCUUCUCUUGCUUUUAAAAUGUAUUUAUUGAUUCUUUCAACAAAGAUUUAUUGAGCACUUAUUAUGUCCCAGGCCCUAUUUAAUCUUUAUAUAUUCUCAUAUAUUGAUGAAGAUGUCAUGAGCUCAAUAAACUGCUUUGUUCUAAGAGAAGAAAGAAGUUUCUGUAAAAGCAGGGGCUUCUGAGAAAAGAGGGAAAUGUGAACUUCAGACUUCAGUGGCUUCACACACUUCUGCCCUGAGCAGUAUUGAUAAGAAUGCAGUCUCUCAGGUUGAAGUAUGUCACUUUCACCUUUUCAACUGGGUGGGGAGAAUGAUAUCUGGGGAAUGUGAAGUGUUUUUACUGCAGGCUUUCUGCAAAGACCAAAGGGAGAGAUAGGGCCUGAAAAAUGAUGGGGAAUUCCCAGAUCUGAGAAAACUCGUUAAUAAACUUGGAAUCCUGGUGCCCCCGUUUGAAAGGGCCUCGGACGUCUCUGAGUCCAUCCCUUAGACAAGCUCUCUAUUGGAAGCAAGAUGUCCUAUUAACAAAUGUUAAUUUGUUAAACAGACUACUUCUGCCUGCACACACUUUGAAUGCAGGGGAACUCUCUCUCUCAUGAGGCAGCCGAUUCUGGUGCUAAACAGACUGUUCUUCCUCAUACCAAGCCAGGAAUCUACCUCUAUGUCCACUCAUGGGUCCCAGAUCAGUCCUUGGAUGUCAUGAAUACUAAUCCGGUCAGGAAUAAUAAGUCAUGAACAAUAAAUCUGGUAUUUCUUUCAUAGGAGCAUUCAUCUCUAAAAUCAGAAACCUUGUUUCCACUAAGACUUUCUUGUCUUGCUCCUUCAGCUUCCCUUACAUGUCAUGAUUCCAAAUGCUUUACUAUCCUAGCUGGAGCAAGGGGAACUGUGAAUGAAUGAGCUGGAGACACUGGAGGCUUGCUCAGAGGAGCCAUUAUUAAUAAACACACACUGAAGUCACAAGAAACUUUGAAAGAGGGGCUGGGGCCUCUCCUGUGGCCAUUAGGAUGUGGACAAAGCGUCUUUGGAAUGGAAGAGGUUUCUGGGGUCAGGGAUCAUCUGGCUGGUAUUUGAGUCCCUAUAUAGCGCUUGUGACACUCAGAACAGUCUUUUUAAGGCCAGGCUGUGGUGUCUGAAGAAGUACCUGGGAAGCAAAUAUAAUUGCUCUAAGUAGCAUGCUUGACCUAGGCAAUGUACACAGCCAUCUCUGGGGAGAAUUUCAUUUUUAUUAUUUGAGACAGAGUUUUGCUCUGUUGCCCAGGCUGGAGUGCAGUGGUGCAAUCACAGGUCACUGAAGGCUUGACCUCUCAGGCUCAAGUGAUCCUCCCACCUUAGCCUCCCAAGUAGCUGGAACUACAGGUGCACACCACCAUGCCUGGCUGAUUUGUGGAAUCUGAGGGUGAUCCUGAAGACCCCCAAACUUGCAACUAUUGUCUGAAGUAAGGGACUGUUCCAUUAGACUUUGCAGUUUGCUAAACUCUGUUACAGCCCUUCACUCUAGGGAAAUAAACUCUGACUCUUUAUCGAGGUUUUUUUUUUUUUUUUUUGAUAUGGAGUCUUCUAUCACCCAGGCUGGAGUGCAGUGUCAUGAUCUCGGCUCACUGCAACCUCCGCUUCUCGGGUUCAAGUGAUUCUCCUGCCUCAGCCUCCUGAGUAGCUGGGAUUACAGGCGGCCACCACCACACCCAGCUAAUUUUUGUAUUUUUAGUGGAGACAGGGUUUCACCAUGUUGGCCAGGCUGGUCUUGAACUCCUGACCUCAAAUGAUCCACCUGCCUCAGCCUCCCAGAGUGCUGGGAUUACAGGUGUGAGCCAUUGCACCAAGCCUCUUUAUCCAAUUUUGUGCCUCCCCCUGGGACAAGGUGUCCCCAGAGCUAAGGGGCCAUAGCUUUCCUUUUUCUGGAUCACACCCCUGCAUGUGCUGGUGACUGGAGUUUGGAUGUGUGUGCUGGGAUGUCCACAUAGGUGAGUAUGAGUCUCCCCGCAACAUGGAGGGAAUGAGAGAACAGAGGGUGAGUUAUGGUACAAAGGCCUGGAGCCAGGGCCUUCUCUCCCCACACCACCAUACUCCACUGCGGAAUUCCAGACAGUCGAGAAUUCUAAAUUUGAACAUAGACUUCGAGGUUAUCAUGGUGUUUUUUUCAAAGCAGCAAGCUCCCUUUUCAUUUUAUUUUGUUGUAUUUUAUUAAUUAAUUUAUUUUAUUUUCAGUUUUAUUUUAGGUUCGGGGGACAUGUGAAGUUUGUUAUAUAGGUAAACUCGUGUCACUGGGAUUUGCUGUAUAAAUUAUUUCAUUUCCCAGGUACAGGUACUAAGUGUAGUACCCAGUAGUUAAUUUUUUUCUGCUCCUCUCCUUCCUCCCAUCCUCUACCCUCAAGUAGGCCCCAGUUUCUGCUGUUCCCUUCUUUGUGUUCAUAAGUUCUCAUCAUUCAGCUCCCACCUAUAAAUGAGAACGUGUGGGAUUUGGUUUUCUGUUUCUGCAUUUAACUUGUUAAGGAUAAUAGCCUCCAGCUCCAUUCAUGUUCCCCAAAAGUAGCUUGUUUUUUGGAAGCUACGUAAUUUUUUUUUCUUUUCUUUUCUUUCUUUUUUCUUUUUUUGUAGAGAUAGGAUCUCACUGUGUUGCCCAAACUGACCUCAAACUCCUGGCCUCAAAUGAUCCUCCCACCUUGGCCUCCCAGUGUGCUGAGAUGACAGGUGUAAGCCACCAUUCCCGCAGCAAAGCUUAUGGAUUCUUUAAUGCUCUCAACUCUCAUGAAAACAACCACCAUAAAUCUUAGUUCGUUCAUUGUCAUAAAUUAUUUUUUUCCCUAUAUUUUGUAAAGAACUGAAAUUGAGAAAAGACUACUAAUGUGACCCUAGCAUUUCUGUUACUGGAAACUUAUACUUUUAGCCUUAUUUAUAACAUAAAGAAUGCUAAAUUUAUAAUAUAAAUAAUGCUAAAAAGACCAAAGACCAAAGGGAGAGAUAGGGCACUGAAAAAUUAUGAGGAAUUCCCAGAUCUGAGGAAACUCAUUAAUAAACUUGGAAUCUCAGGCCAGGCGCGGUAGCUCACGCCUGUAAUCCCAGCACUUUGGGAGGCUGAGGCGGGCGUAUCACGAGGUCAGGAGAUCGAGACCAUCCUGGCUAACAUGGUAAAACCCCGUCUCUACUAAAAACACAAAAAAUCAGCCAGGUGUGGUGGCGGGCACCUGUAGUCCCAGCUACCCAGGAGGCCGAGGCAGGAGAAUGGCGAGAACCCGGGAAGUGGAGCUUGCAGUGAGCCGAGAUUGCGCCACUGAACUCCAGCCUGGGAGACAGCGAGACUCUGUCUCAAAAAACAAAACAAAACAAAAAACAAAAACUUGGAAUCUCAGUGUCCCCAUUCAAAAGGACCUCAAAGGUCUCUGAGUCCACCCCUUAGACAAACUCUCUAUCAAACUCUGUAUCCCCGCUUUGGUCUUAUUUUUUAUAUGAGGGUAAGUUAUCUUGAUGUUUGCCUCACUGGUAAUAUCAGAGGGAUUUGUUAAGUACGGGAAGUUUGGUUAUAAACUAACUUUGGACAUUCAAAGCCAUGUUCAUAUAAUAAUGCAAAUGUUACUUUAUCAUGAUUUCUUCUUCUUAACAAGAUAACUUUUCUUAUUGUUUCCCCAACUAUAAUUGACUGCUACACUUGCGAUUAGCUUUGGUCAAGAUGCAUUCUUUACAAUGCCUAGAGGGUAUGGUGGAUAGGAUUAUCUCCAUUUUACAGGUAAGGGAGAUGAGGCUGAGAAACUGAGGCCAAGAAGAGUUCAGUAUCUUGCAUAGAAUUUCAUGGCUCAGAAUAGUAGAGCCCAAGUAAUAUACCAAUCUCCUGUCCAGAGCUUUUCACUUUGCAGAAUUCCCAACAACAUGAACUAACUCAAAUGGAGGCAUAAGGAUGAAAUUCACAUAGGCACAUUUAAAUCCCAGAUCUCAUGGAAAAAGUGAAUGGCAUUAAUUAGACCUACCAAUUGAACAACUAAAAAGAAAAUAAGACAAUCAUCUUCUGAGCAAAAUCACAAGAAAAACCCAAGUCUUUCAAAAUCUUACCAAGGGUCAGUUUUUAGAAGACAAUGGUUCCUUUCGUACGUGAGCCAUUUGGUGUAGGGAACUCAGUCUAUCUCGAUUCUUUAGAUUCAUUGGGUUUUCCUUCUUUCCUUCUCUAAGCAGUCAUUAGGCAUCUGCUAAGAGUAAGGCACAUGAAAUGCUUUUAUUAAGGAGAAUGUUUGGCCUUCAAAAGAUUAAUAUCACAGAGAUGGAAACCAGGCCUGUCGCUGAGGUUUGGCGACUGCUACGUCAAAGCCCCAGAUCUGGCUAACCUCAAACUGGUCUCUUAAUUAAAGAGUAAAAUUUAAGGAGAGCUCAUGUAAUUCUUUGGAGGUUUAAGAUAAGAUUUUGUUGACUGGAUACAGUAAUCUAUUUGGGGAGGGGGGAGCUGAAAAGAUUCUUUUCACUUUUAUGUAAGAUAUGUGUUAGUCUUGGCUCUAAAAGAGCAAUUUUAAUCCAAGAUUCUCAAGGAACUCUUCACAGAUUAAUUCAUUUUGGAGAAACAUAACUUCAUUGCUUCCAUUCCACAGAUAUUUAAAAGGGUCCUGGAGGACCCAUUUUUUGUCUGUUUUGCUCCCAGUGGAUACCCCUCUGUUUAAUUUGGAAGAAUAGCAACCACAAUUUAUGCCAAUAGCAUGCAUUUCAAAUGUUAGUGCUGUAUCUACCUCAGAGAGGUAUCUGAGUAAUAGCUGGGCCCAGUGUCUUCAUCUGACCAUCCACCACCCAUUCAUGUAUCCAUCACCCAUCCAACCACCAUCUGUCUAACCAUCCACCAUCCACCAUCCAUCCAUCCAUCCAUCCAUCCAUCCAUCCAUCCAUCCAUCCAUCAUCCACCCACCACCCAUUCAUACACCUAUUCGUCAUCGAUCCACUAUCCAUCCACCCAUCUCCCAUCUAUCCAUUCAUCUACCAUCUACAUCCAUCCACCCCCCAUCCAACACCAUUUAUCUACCCAAUUACCAUCCACCACCCAUCCAUCCGUCCAUCCAUCUACCAUCCACUCAUUCAUUCAUCUGUCCAUCAUUCAUCCAUCCACCACCCAUCUACCAUCGAUCCAUUCAUCUACCAUCCACAUCCACCCACCACCCAUCCAACCAUCUAUCUACCCAAUUAUCAUCCACCACCAAUCCAUCCACCCAUCCAUCCAUCUACCAUCCACCAUCCAUCACCCAUUCAUCCAUCUGUUCAUCAUUCAUCCACUCACAUCUAUCCUCCCAUUUACCAUCCAUCCAUUCAUCUAUCAUCCAUUCACCACCCAUCCAUCUACCACCCAUCCCUCCAUCUAUUCAUUCAUCUAUCAUCCAUCCAUUCAUCUAUCCACCCAUCUACCAUCCAUCCAUUCAUCUACUAUCCAAUCAUCCAUUCACCACACAUCCAUCCAUAACCAUCUAUCCACCUACCAUUCAUCCAUUUAUUCAUCCAUCCAUCUACCACCAUCCAUCCACCCAUCUACCAUCCAUCCAUUUAUCUAUUAUCAUUCAUCCAUCCACCACCCAUCCAUCCAUUCAUCAAUCCAUCUGUUGCUGUUGUUAUUACUAUUUGUAUUUAUCGAUAAAGUAACUCAGCCCCAGAAAAGGUAAGUGAUCCACCUAUAGGUUUAGGAUAAAUAAAUCAGGAGUUAGAGAAUCUAUUUCUUUGAUUGUUUGCUUCUCUUUCCCAGAAAGUGAAGGAGGAGAGCCAGAGGUAGGAAGUGGGAGAUAAUUUUCAGAGGCCUAAAUUAUUUUGAUUUAAUUUUGGUCUAAGAGCUGAGUUCUGGGAGUGGGUUUGUUUGUUUAUUUUUGCUUUAAUUUGUAUAUCAAUUCUAAAGCCUCCAAAAUAAAGUUGACAAGACUACAUUUCCCAAUUUACCUAUUUGUUUGAUCAACUACAUCACAAGACCCCCAUGGGCAAAGAUGAUGUUAUUUCUGUCUAAAAUCCCAGUGCCAUAAGUCUGGCACCCUGGGUCCUUGAGGUGGCUGAGAUGCGAAACAGGUGAUAAUGUUAAGAAGAAAAGAGCCCCAGAUGCCGGUCACAGUCUCUUCUCAGGAAAGGGGAGCCCCAGUGAGAACAUUACCCAGAGCAGGAUGCGGGGGGGCAGGUUACUUAGUUCAGUAUCUGGGCAGCCAGGUGAAGAGCAUCAGUCCCUGUAGAAGAGGACUGUGCUUCUCCAUCUCUAGGGGCCCAGCCUCCAGGACACACAGCUCAGCCCUGAACAGAAGCUGAAGAUUCAAGGUAAGAUGAAGCAAAAGGAGCUGGGACAGGCUGAGGAACGCUUUCCCCUAAGUCACUUCCAUUCAACUUGAACCCUCGCAUUGACUGAGCACCUGGAACAGACAAAGCACCAGGCCAGGCAUAUUGUGGGCCUUGACCUGUGCAUUAUAGGAGAGAAGACUUCGGGAGGAGAAUCCAGGCCCUGCCACAUACUCUCUCAGUCCCCUUCCCUGCACAGAUCUGGCAGCUCUCUACUUCCUCUUGGGUUCCUCCCUACCUCGGUUUGUCCGACUUUUAAAGUCAGCAACACAGGGCUGGCCAGGGUGAUUUACCCCUGUAAUCCCAGCACUUCAGGAGGAGGCGGGAGGACCACUUGAAGCCAGGAGUUCAAGACCAGCCUGGGAAAUAUAGCAAGACUCCUUCUGUACUGGGUGUGGUCCCAGCAACUCAGGAGGCUGAGGUGGGAGGAACACUUGAGCCCAGGAAUUGGAGGCUGCAGUGAGCUGUGAUUGUACCACUGCACUCCAGCCUGGGCUACAGAGUAACACCAGUCUCUUAAAAACAAACAAACAAACAAACAAACAAACAAACAAAACAAACAAAAACCCAGCAACACAGAAGAGCUAUGAUCCAGGUACCAUGCAUUGUCAUCCUGAAUUAGGGUGAACAACCAUCCUGGUGUCCCUGGGACUAUCCUGGCUUUAACUCUGAAAAUUCCACAUUCUGGGAAGGUCUUCAGUCCCGGGCAAAUGGGACAGUUGGUCACUCUGACCUGAACUCACUGGAUACUGGAAAGGAACAAUCUGGGAAGAACUGCCCUAAUAAUAGGUAGUCUAUUCUCUUCUCUAUCUACUAAACUUUCUUUUAGGUGUAUUUAGAUUAUUUAUUAUGUAUUUAAGUAGCAGCGAGAUGUGUGCCAGGGUUGACAAUACCGACCCUUGUGGAAUGAUUUUUACAUGAAUUCCCUUUGUCAAGAUGCUCUCAGUCUGUACCCAGGGUGGUUUUUUCACCCCCUCCCCCAACUGUCCAACUCCCCCCAGGGUGUUAUAUGUGGGAAGUUCACUGUAUCUGUUCCUGGAAGGACACGGUUGAAAUUUCAUUCACUGCCUUACACAGUGUCCCCCUCCUGAGACCCAUG
RNAcentral lists this long non-coding RNA (10749 nucleotides) under Homo sapiens (human). RNAcentral describes it as "HSALNT0160698". The record is from RNAcentral. Lineage: Eukaryota; Metazoa; Chordata; Mammalia; Primates; Hominidae.